This 31-nucleotide transfer RNA is filed under the name Scoparia nudicaulis. RNAcentral describes it as "partial tRNA-Phe". Lineage: Eukaryota; Viridiplantae; Streptophyta; Magnoliopsida; Lamiales; Plantaginaceae. The record is from RNAcentral.
GGAUGGGAUGCUACAUUAUUAAUGGGUCGGG